UACGUAGGGCGCAAGCGUUUAUCCGGAAUUAUUGGGCGUAAAGAGCUCGUAGGCGGUUUGUCGCGUCUGCCGUGAAAGUCCGGGGCUCAACUCCGGAUCUGCGGUGGGUACGGGGCAGACUAGAGUGAUGUAGGGGGAGACUGGAAUUCCUGGUGUAGCGGUGGAAUGCGCAGAUAUCAGGAGGAACACCAAUAGCGAAGGCAGCUCGCUGGGACGGUAUUGACGCUGAGGUGCGAAAGCGUGGGGAGCGAACAGG
RNAcentral lists this ribosomal RNA (256 nucleotides) under uncultured bacterium. Its description in RNAcentral is "partial 16S ribosomal RNA". It matches the Rfam family "Bacterial small subunit ribosomal RNA", at positions 524 to 776 of the family's 1533-position model. The record is from RNAcentral.